Molecule: ribosomal RNA, 359 nt
Filed under: Theileria annulata
Lineage: Eukaryota; Apicomplexa; Aconoidasida; Piroplasmida; Theileriidae
Description: SSU rRNA
Rfam family: Eukaryotic small subunit ribosomal RNA
Source: RNAcentral
GGGGCUUAAGUCUUGUAUUGGAUGAUGGGAAUUUAAACCUCUUCCAGAGUAUCAAUUGGAGGGCAAGUCUGGUGCCAGCAGCCGCGGUAAUUCCAGCUCCAAUAGCGUAUAUUAAAAUUGUUGCAGUUAAAAAGCUCGUAGUUGAAUUUCUGCUGCAUUGCUUGUGUCCCUCUGGGGUCUGUGCAUGUGGCUUUUUUCGGACGGAGUUUCUUUGUCUGAAUGUUUACUUUGAGAAAAUUAGAGUGCUCAAAGCAGGCUUUCGCCUUGAAUAGUUUAGCAUGGAAUAAUAAAGUAGGACUUUGGUUCUAUUUUGUUGGUUUUAGGUACCAAAGUAAUGGUUAAUAGGAACAGUGGGGCUA